RNAcentral lists this transfer RNA (70 nucleotides) under Spratelloides gracilis (silver-stripe round herring). Its description in RNAcentral is "tRNA-Asp". It matches the Rfam family "tRNA". Rfam says of the family: Transfer RNA (tRNA) molecules are approximately 80 nucleotides in length. Their secondary structure includes four short double-helical elements and three loops (D, anti-codon, and T loops). Lineage: Eukaryota; Metazoa; Chordata; Actinopteri; Clupeiformes; Clupeidae. The record is from RNAcentral.
AAGGUACUAGUAAAGCCAAUUAUAUUGCCUUGUCGAGGCAAAGUCGUGGGUUAGAUCCCCGCGUACCUUA